CCUACGGGUGGCAGCAGUGGGGAAUAUUGGGCAAUGGGCGCAAGCCUGACCCAGCAACGCCGCGUGAAGGAAGAAGGCUUUCGGGUUGUAAACUUCUUUUCUCAGGGACGAAGCAAGUGACGGUACCUGAGGAAUAAGCCACGGCUAACUACGUGCCAGCAGCCGCGGUAAUACGUAGGUGGCAAGAGUUAUCCGGAUUGACUGGGUUUAAAGGACGUGUAGGCGGGAAAGCAAGUCAGAUGUGAAAACCAUGGGCUCAACCUGCUGCCUGCAUUUGAAACUGUUUUUCUUGAGUACUGGAGUGGCAGACGGAAGUCCUAGUGUAGCGGUGAAAUGCGUAGAGAUUAGGAGGAACACCAGUGGCGAAGGCGGUCUGCUGGACAGCAACUGACGCUGAGGCGCGAAAGCGUGGGGAGCAAACAGGAUUAGAUACCCUUGUAGUC
RNAcentral lists this ribosomal RNA (443 nucleotides) under uncultured bacterium. Its description in RNAcentral is "partial 16S ribosomal RNA". It matches the Rfam family "Bacterial small subunit ribosomal RNA", at positions 338 to 795 of the family's 1533-position model. The record is from RNAcentral.